This 494-nucleotide ribosomal RNA is filed under the name uncultured bacterium. RNAcentral describes it as "partial 16S ribosomal RNA". It matches the Rfam family "Bacterial small subunit ribosomal RNA", at positions 28 to 507 of the family's 1533-position model. The record is from RNAcentral.
GACGAACGCUGGCGGCGUGCUUAACACAUGCAAGUCGAACGGAAAGGCCUGCUUUCCCUUGUGGAUUGCGGGUACUCGAGUGGCGAACGGGUGAGUAACACGUGAGUGAUCUGCCCCCAACUUGGGUAUAAGCCUGGGAAACUGGGUCUAAUUCCCGAUAGGACUGCAGGGUGGUGCCUGUGGUGGAAAACGAUUUUCUAGUGGUUGGGGAUGAGCUCGCGGCCUAUCAGCUUGUUGGUGGGGUAAUGGCCUACCAAGGCGGCGACGGGUAGCCGGCCUGAGAGGGUGGACGGCCACAUUGGGACUGAGAUACGGCCCAGACUCCUACGGGAGGCAGAAGUGGGGAAUAGUGCACAAUGGGCGGAAGCCUGAUGCAGCGACGCCGCGUGGGGGAUGACGGCCUUCGGGUUGUAAACUCCUUUCGACCGCGAGGAAGCCACCUGGUUGGAAGGGUGGUGACGGUAGUGGUAGAAGAAGCACCGGCUAACUACGUG